Long non-coding RNA from Etheostoma spectabile (orangethroat darter), 86 nucleotides. RefSeq lists it as uncharacterized. The transcript has 3 exons. The record is from RefSeq and is a predicted model, not a curated record. Lineage: Eukaryota; Metazoa; Chordata; Actinopteri; Perciformes; Percidae.
AAAUGCGGGUGGUUUAACAUAAUGAGGUGAAUAUUUAUGACAUUUUGACCUUUUAUUACAUAAUGCGUUGUUUGUAAGAAAAGUCC